CCGUGGCCAUUUUGGCUGAAG
Molecule: small RNA, 21 nt
Filed under: Karenia brevis
Lineage: Eukaryota; Dinophyceae; Gymnodiniales; Kareniaceae
Description: trans-spliced leader sequence SL
Source: RNAcentral